Molecule: unclassified non-coding RNA, 2065 nt
Filed under: Pogonomyrmex barbatus (red harvester ant)
Lineage: Eukaryota; Metazoa; Arthropoda; Insecta; Hymenoptera; Formicidae
Description: sodium-coupled monocarboxylate transporter 1-like, transcript variant X8
Source: RNAcentral
AUUCAGUUUUAUAGCAAGAUGACUUCGCGUACGGAAGAUACUCCAAACGACCUAAGUGUGACAAAAUGGGCAUCGGAGACGCCCACUGUUCAAGAAAUCAGUAAAUUUAUGCAAAAUUUUGGUAUAUCGGACUAUACUGUGUUUGCUGUGAUGCUGGUCAUGUGCGGUAUGGUUGGUAUUUACUUCGGUUUCGUGAAAAAGUCCUCAGGCGAAGAUGAAUAUCUUGUUGGCGGAAGGAACAUGAAAGCAUUUCCAGUCAGCCUUAGUCUGUUGGCCAGUUUUAUAUCGGGUAUUUCAUUGUUGGGUACACCGACGGAGAUUUAUGUACAUGGUAUAAGCUAUCUAUUCAUUUGUUGUGCGAUCAUCUUCGUUGCCUUUACCACAUCCUUCGUAUAUCUGCCAGUAUUUCAUGAGCUCAAACUCACCAGCACUUAUGAAUACCUCGAGAAACGUUUUGAUAAGAAGUUGAGAUUACUGGGUUCAAUCCUUUUUGCCAUGGGUAUUAUAACUUGGCUUCCAAUUGUUAUCUAUGUACCUGCACUGGCUUUCAAUCAAGUUACGGGAGUAAAUGUACACAUAGUCACACCUUUUGUAUGCAUCGUUUGCAUAUUUUACACCUGUGUGGGCGGUCUCAAAGCAGUAGUAUGGACAGAUUUCAUUCAAACUUUCAUUAUGUUUGGCUCGAUGUUAUUAAUUGCAAUUAAAGGUACAAUAGACGUUGGUGGACUAUCUCUAGUGAUUCAAAGAAAUUUGGAUUCCGGAAGACUCGAAUUUCCUGCGAUGGAUUGGAACCCUUUCAUAAGACAUACAAUUUGGUCACUCCUCAUAGGUGGUUACAUACAUUGGUUGCAAAUCACUGCCAUUAAUCAAAAUAUGAUUCAACGAUAUUUAUCACUUCCUACUCUGCAAUCAGCUAGAAGAGCACUCUGGAGUUUCAUGAUCGGAGUUACAAUGCUGACUUGCUUAUGUGGAUAUUGUGGCAUGCUAAUUUACGCCUGGUAUCAUGAAUGUGAUCCACUUACAACUAAGUUGGCACGCGCCAAGGAUCAACUGCUACCGCUGUUAGUUAUGAACGUUUUAGGAAGAUUUCCAGGACUGCCUGGUCUCUUUGUAGCUGGUGUAUUUAGCGCCGCACUCAGUUCAUUGUCAACCGGUUUAAAUUCUAUGGCAGCCGUAGUAUUGGAAGAUUUUGUUAAACCAUUUCAGAAGACUCCAUUUACGCGCAGAGGUGCUGAUAUCUUUAUGAAACUCACGGUUGUUGUUUUAGGAGCAAUCUGUGUUGCUCUUGUUUUCGUCGUUGAACAAGCGGGUACUCAUAUGUUGCAGUUGUCCAUAACCUUAGGCUCCAUUACUACUGGUCCAUCUUUUGGUAUUUUCAACAUGGGAAUAUUAUUACCAUGGAUUAAUAGCAAGGGUGCUUUAGCAGGAGGAAUUGCAGGCUUGAGUUUUAUGGGCUGGCUCGGUCUAUCCGCUGAAGCAGCUAUCACCAGUGGAAGAAUUAAAUUUGAUACAAAACCUGUCACUACGGAAGGAUGCACCUAUUCAUUUCCACAGAGAACCAUGGACAUUAUUCCGUCUCAGUUACUUGUUUUACACUAUGACUGGUGCCUUAAUAACUAUGAGCGUCGGUCUCAUCGUAACUUUAAUUACUUCUGAAGAUAUUGAGAAGUUAGAUCCAAUGCUCGUAGCGCCAUUUAUGAGAAAAUACUUAAAGACUGCAACCAGAGAAGUUCCGCUUCAAGAAUUUCAUGAAAUCAAGGUUGCAAAAUCAAAUGAAAAGGUGGCGUCUUGUACUAUCAAUGAAGAUGACAAAUUAUUAUCAGAAGGAACGAUUUCAACAUAAUAUAAGUAAUUAUUAAUGUAAAUGUUAUUAAUAUUUGAAUUUAUUAAGAAAGUAUAUUAUAAGUAUAUUAUAAUUUAAUUCUUAUAUAAAAAUCAAGAUUAAUAUUGAAUUAUUAAAGAAAUUUUGUAUAAAAUUUAUACAAUAUCAUAUAUUUUUGCUACGUAUGAUGUAUAUUACAAAAAUUAUUAUAUUAUGGAUUAUUGUGAAUAAAGUUAUUAAUAA